Molecule: ribosomal RNA, 588 nt
Filed under: uncultured bacterium
Lineage: Bacteria
Description: bacterial SSU rRNA
Rfam family: Bacterial small subunit ribosomal RNA
Source: RNAcentral
CUCCUACGGGAGGCAGCAGUGGGGAAUUUUGGACAAUGGGGGCAACCCUGAUCCAGCCAUUCCGCGUGAGUGAAGAAGGCCUUCGGGUUGUAAAGCUCUUUUGUCCGGAGCGAAACGGUUACGGUGAAUAUCCGUGACUACUGACGGUACCGGAAGAAUAAGCACCGGCUAACUACGUGCCAGCAGCCGCGGUAAUACGUAGGGUGCGAGCGUUAAUCGGAAUUACUGGGCGUAAAGCGUGCGCAGGCGGUUUUGUAAGCCAGAUGUGAAAUCCCCGGGCUUAACCUGGGAAUGGCAUUUGGGACUGCAAGGCUGGAGUAUGGCAGAGGGGACUAGAAUUCCUGGUGUAGCAGUGAAAUGCGUAGAUAUCAGGAGGAAUACCGAUGGCGAAGGCAGGUCCCUGGGCUAAUACUGACGCUCAUGCACGAAAGCGUGGGGAGCAAACAGGAUUAGAUACCCUGGUAGUCCACGCCCUAAACGAUGUCGACUGGUUGUUGGGGGUUUGACACUCUCAGUAACGAAGCUAACGCGUGAAGUCGACCGCCUGGGGAGUACGGCCGCAAGGUUAAAACUCAAAGGAAUUGACGG